UCAUAGAAGGUCCAGUGUCUUGGCAGGGUGAAAUGGCACUGAUAUCGUGUCCUGCAGGAUGCUGUGUCCUGCAAUCCUGUGUGCUGUGCUACAGACGCGUGUGGAGGUCAACCCGAAAUGGGCACAGUAGCGUGAAAGAGGAUCCUGGCAGGGAGACGGUAGUGUCCUGCAGGAUGGUGAUGGGCAAUCUUACAAGAGACCACAGAAAACUGAUAUAGUGUAAGAUUAUCCCUGUUGGGCUCAAUAUGUCUUGCUUAUUGAUAUAUUUGCUAUGUCAAUAUGAGGUGCAUGACGAAGUAUUUAUUUAUUUGUUGUUUCUACAGCUCCCAGAAGUGAGACUGAGUGCCUGUUGCAGUAUGACGAGGAAGCAGUGACCAGAGACCUUCAGUAGACCCUGCUGGCAUGAUUGGUGGCUGAAGAACAUAAUCAACAGCAAUGUUUAUAAUAUUGUACAUACCUGUAUAGUCUGCACUAAAAUGCUGUACCUGUACUAUUUUUCCUCUUACUUUCAUAUUUACUAUGAAUUGACAACUUUUACUCAAAUCCAUUUUUGUAUGUGCCCUGACUAAAACUAUC
Molecule: long non-coding RNA, 576 nt
Organism: Engraulis encrasicolus (European anchovy)
Lineage: Eukaryota; Metazoa; Chordata; Actinopteri; Clupeiformes; Engraulidae
Exons: 3
Source: RefSeq, a predicted model, not a curated record